Cyprinus carpio (common carp) is the source of this 4079-nucleotide long non-coding RNA. RefSeq lists it as uncharacterized. The record is from RefSeq and is a predicted model, not a curated record. The transcript is spliced from 4 exons. Lineage: Eukaryota; Metazoa; Chordata; Actinopteri; Cypriniformes; Cyprinidae.
UAAUUUUUGAUCAAAUAAAUGCAGCCUUGGUGAACAUUAGAGACUUAAAAAAAAAAUUUUAUUAAAUUUUACCAACCCCAAUUUGUUGACCAGUAGUAAAUGUAAAGAAAUAGAAAUGUCCAUAAAAUAAAAUCUAAACUGUAAAAAAACAAAAAAACAAACAAACUAAAAGUUAAAUAUAUUUGAAAUUACUAUUGAAAUAAAAACAAAUUUGAAAAUGCAAACUAUAAUAACUUGAAUGCUAUACGUCUCUUACAUGCAUCUCAUGUAUAUAUUAGUCAGAGCUGUGGCCUUCGCACUCUAACACAAUGAGCUAUGGUUCUAAUGUGAGCACUGUUAGUUUGAGUCAAGUUGCGGCAGUGGUGUGGCCAACAUUUGUAGGACUGAAUUGCAACAUGGCAUCUUUCUGCUGUGCUGUUGGCUGUGAUAACCAUAAAUCACAAUGGCUUAUUUACCAAGAGAUGCGGAUGUAUGGGAUCAUUUUGGCUAAAUAUUCCUUGUAAGCAUCGAUGCACAUUUACAUUUUAGUAUUUUACUUAGUAGGCACUCGUAAGCUCAUUAAGGAACGUUCAAAAAGUCAAAUUCGUCUGUGAGACUGCAGAGAAAGGAGCUUUCUUGCUUUGGCCGAAAACUUUUGGUGUGCUUACCACCUAAAGCUAAUACAUGAACGAGAUGUUUUUGAUCUUUGAUCUAAGUACGGUUAUGUUUACGCUGCCCUAAACUUUGACGAGCAACACUCCGAUCCGCAAACAAACAGAUGAUAAAGAAGAGGAGGAUGAUGACAGUCCAGAAUAUACGAGGAGAAAGAAGAGAAGUGUUAUCAUCGCUGAAGAAAUGGCAGACACCUGUGAACACUGUGCAGUGCUUGGAGUUCAAGUGGACAUCAUACUUAUUAUACUUCUCUGACUGCUCUAAAGCCAAUGAGAAAAACUCAAAAGAAGAUACUAUGAAUCAUGCAGGUGCAGAAAUGAAAGCUCCCAAGCAAAGAACCUACUGAAUUAAGUUUUUAAUGUUUUCACCUUUACUUGUUAAAUUUUACAAUACAAGUAUAAGUAAAUGCAUGGAUUAUUUAGUAAAAUGUGUUAAAUAUUUUAUCUACACUUGUUGUUUAACUACUGUUUUUUUGCUGUAAUUGCAUGGUUUUGUAAAUAAAUUGUUGUGUAAUAAAUUUUCCUCAUGCCAGCUUGAUCAAGCGAGUUAUUUAAUGGAUUUUAAAAUUGCAUUCAUAAUAAUGAGAUGUUUACAGAUUUGUUAAGUCAUGUUAUUUAUGCAUUAUAAUCUAUAUAAUUAAAAUGAAAGUAAACAUUUUGGCUAUGGAUUAAAUUUGUAAUGAAAUAUUAAUGAACAGUUUGGAUGCUUGGAUGCUGCAGUGUCAGCAAGUUAACGGCUGUCGCAUGGCCAGAUUUAUUCGGCUCAGAAUCAGGCAGUGAGUACACAGGCAUCCAGGCCGGGUGCGGCAGAUGGAGCCGGGCCGAGCCGAUGGUAAGACUCCGGCAGAUGAGAAUUUAACUGAAACUGGCCCAAGUGUAUUUUGUUAUCUGGGUCAUCGGUGUAUGGAGAGGGAUUGUAGAUGAGGUAGAUGUAAAUAUCAGCAAACGUCAAAUUUGACAAGUUUUUACUAGACCUGUUUUUACUGGCAGUAAAUAAGGAUUUAAUCCUAAAGUAUCUGUUUUCUUUAAAUACCGUUGUUUUGCAUUGGUGGUGAAGUGUGCUAUUUUGGUUUAUGAUCAUCAAAAAGAGGCUACACAAAGGUCCUAAAGAUGGCGGCCACAAUAAAAAAGUCAUGUGCCUGAAGCCCAUGAAUACUGUACUGACCAAUGUAAGUGUUGAAAACUGAACAAACAAGCAUCUAGGCAUUCUACAUCAAAGUGUUACUAUCAUUAAUGUCAAUAUCCUUAAUAUAUAUAUAAAUUGAGAUUUCCAAAUUUUCUCCAUUUCCCAAUUUUCUGCCAGUACUUUAUGAAAAAGUAGGUCAGGAUGGGGUUCACUCCUAUUUCCUGUGUAAUUAAUCCUGUGUUGUUUUGUAUUCUUAGUUUGAGGGUGAACAGCAAUCUGUCUGGCUGAGAGAGGAACCGGAGUUUCCUGCCUUAGUUUAGCAGAGUGAUAUAAACUCAAAACAUCUUGGCCCGAGACUGAAAGGAAACCCUGUUUGAUUAAGGAAUUUUCCUUCUUUAAGAAAAACAUCCAAAACAUAAUACAUCACAAACUGGGUUUUCAGACAAAACCGAUAUGAAAAUAUGUUCUGUGAAUGAUAGCCCAAACGUGUACAUGUUUCAGCGUCUGCUUUUAUUUCUAUUGUUUAAAGUGAGUUUAUCAGCCUAAAUACAAACAGAAGAUUAAAACUGUGUUCUGCUAGUACUCAAUAGACAUAAUUAUAAUUAGGGAGUAGAAUUUGUGCUAAAAAUAGCACUGGGUUUUAUUGUACAAGUGAAUUGCAAAAUCCAGAAUCUGACCAUUAACCAUUUGUUCUUAAAUUAAACUUGCAAUAAUGCUCUUAUAUGGGUAAUUCAUGUAUGUACUGUAUAUUUCACACACUGUAACAGCAUCUGUGUGUGGGUGUGAGACAGAGAGAAAUCAAAGAAUAGGCCCUCUGGACAUGUUUAAAUAAAUGUGUGCCACUAUAGGGUCUUACUGAUGAUUUUGACAAAGAGAAGGGUCAUGUGAUUGGGUGGUGAGUGCAGGCUGGAAGCUCAUUGGUCUAAACAGAGCCAUACAUCCCAGACUGCUGGUUUAGAGUUGUAGCCUGGAGGGACUGGAAUGACUCGCUGUCUGCAUUAUGAUCCAAACAUUCCAGCUUGACCGUUGCAAAAUCCAUAAAAAGAGACCUUAAAGACAGUUUUUACAGGCACUGGAACUAUUUAUAAAGUCUCAGUCCCUGUGUCAGAGGUAAUUGGUAGCAACAGUUGUGAACAUCAUGUCCUGCGCUGUUUAGUUCACUGUAGAGGGACAGUCAUCUACACCCAAAACACAUCAUGAAAUCUAAACCCAUUUCAGUGUACAGUCCAAUAAUCUGCUUGAACAAGUGAGAUAAUAGCUGUAUGGAUGUUUAUUUUGGUAUAUUUGUUCUGGUAAUGAAAUGGAAAGCUUUUUGAGACACGGUAUGAUGAAUCAGUUUAGUUUUCAUAUGCAAUACAGAAUAUUUUGAAUAGAUGUUACUACGAUUAGCGAAAGCCAGUGUAAUGCUUUUUAUUAGAAGAGUUGAAUAACAUUUCACCAUCAGUGCCUGAAAAUAAGUUAUAUCAAUUUCCCUAUCAUUUAAAUAAAAAAUCAAACAGCAUCUGAGGCUUCUUUUUGCAGCUGUAUUGUUGAUCUUGCUUUAGACUGCAGAUUAGUGUUAUGUUGUGCUUAAUGGAGUGAAUGUGAUGGUUCUCUCUUAUCCCAUCUUGGUAAAUGGAUACUGGAAUUCACCUAUCCCAGGAUGCAUUGCAUUGCUAGCAUCUGAGGUUGAUGACUAAUAGCAGUGGUUAUCUGAUUUAUCUGAGACACCAGGACAUAGUCAUCCUGAAUGAGAAUGACUCUUCUCACUUGCGCCCUCUUGGGGCAGUAGCAACAAAAAAAAUUUUUGUAAACAUCGACACAAUUUCAGAUCUACAGAUAAUAUACUGUGAUUUUUUUUACAUUUGUGUAGUGUCCAUAAUGUUGGGUCUAGAUGUGUUUGCUGCCUCUCCAGUUAUCCAGUAAUGUCUCAAUUUAAUCUCAUCACUGCUGUUGCUAAGAUCAGUAAAUCAUAUUACUGCCAGUCAGCAUGGGUGUUGUUAGCCACAGUAUAUGAAAAUUACAAUCACACACCCACACAUAAACACAUUAAUAAGACCAUUCGGUCAAUAUUAAAUGAGAUGGAUUUAUGUUGCCACAGUGCUCAUAGACAAGGACACACAUCAUCCACAAUCCUCUCACGACCAGCUGUGAAAUAAGACCAGAUCACAUAAUGAUUAUUAAAGUUCCCUUGAAAUGUCUCUUCAUCUGUGGCUAUAGAUUAAAAUAUGCACUGAUCACAAAUGUGUGUGCAUUUGUUUCAGUAUGCUGGUAUUGUUGUUUUACUGUUUGGUGGCUUUAUUAUACUUGAUUUACUGCCAAUU